CAAGGUUUCCGUAGGUGACCUGCGGAAGGAU
This 31-nucleotide ribosomal RNA is filed under the name Paxillus obscurosporus. RNAcentral's name for it is "partial 18S ribosomal RNA". Lineage: Eukaryota; Fungi; Basidiomycota; Agaricomycetes; Boletales; Paxillaceae. The record is from RNAcentral.